RNAcentral lists this ribosomal RNA (553 nucleotides) under uncultured bacterium. RNAcentral's name for it is "bacterial SSU rRNA". It matches the Rfam family "Bacterial small subunit ribosomal RNA", at positions 355 to 897 of the family's 1533-position model. The record is from RNAcentral.
UAGGGAAUCUUCCGCCUUGGACGCAAGUCUGACGGAGCAACGCCGCGUGAGUGACCAAGGUUUUCGGAUCGUAAAACUCUGUUGUUAGAGAAGAACAAGUGCUAUAGUAACUGUUAGCGCCUUGACGGUAUCUAACCAGAAAGCCACGGCUAACUACGUGCCAGCAGCCGCGGUAAUACGUAGGUGGCAAGCGUUGUCCGGAUUUAUCGGGCGUAAAGCGAGCGCAGGCGGUUCCUUAAGUCUGAUGUGAAAGCCCCCGGCUCAACCGGGGAGGGUCAUUGGAAACUGGGGAACUUGAGUGCAGAAGAGGAGAGUGGAAUUCCAUGUGUAGCGGUGAAAUGCGUAGAUAUAUGGAGGAACACCAGUGGCGAAGGCGACUCUCUGGUCUGUAACUGACGCUGAGGCUCGAAAGCGUGGGUAGCAAACAGGAUUAGAUACCCUGGUAGUCCACGCCGUAAACGAUGAGUGCUAAGUGUUGGAGGGUUUCCGCCCUUCAGUGCUGCAGUUUAACGCAUUAAAGCACUCCGCCUGGGGAGUACGACCGCAAGGUUGA